GGCUGCUCCUAGUACGAGAGGACCGGAGUGGACGCAUCACUGGUGUUCGGGUUGUCAUGCCAAUGGCACUGCCCGGUAGCUAAAUGCGGAAGAGAUAAGUGCUGAAAGCAUCUAAGCACGAAACUUGCCCCGAGAUGAGUUCUCCCUGACCCUUUAAGGGUCCUGAAGGAACGUUGAAGACGACGACGUUGAUAGGCCGGGUGUGUAAGCGCAGCGAUGCGUUGAGCUAACCGGUACUAAUGAACCGUGAGGCUUAACCUUACAACGCCGAAGCUGUU
Molecule: ribosomal RNA, 278 nt
Filed under: Escherichia coli
Lineage: Bacteria; Pseudomonadati; Pseudomonadota; Gammaproteobacteria; Enterobacterales; Enterobacteriaceae
Description: partial 23S ribosomal RNA
Rfam family: Bacterial large subunit ribosomal RNA
Source: RNAcentral